CCUACGGGUGACAGCAGUGAGGAAUAUUGGUCAAUGGACGGACGUCUGAACCAGCCAUGCCGCGUGCAGGAAGACGGCUCUAUGAGUUGUAAACUGCUUUUGUACAGGGGUAAACCUGAAUACGUGUAUUCAGCUGAAAGUACUGUACGAAUAAGGAUCGGCUAAAUCCGUGCCAGCAGCCGCGGUAAUACGGAGGAUUCAGGCGUUAUCCGGAUUUAUUGGGUUUAAAGGGUGCGUAGGCGGAUUGAUAAGUUAGAGGUGAAAUGUACGGGCUUAAAUCGGGAUCUGCCUCUAAUACUGUUGUUCUAGAGAGUAGAUGCGGUAGGCGGAAUGUAUGGUGUAGCGGUGAAAUGCUUAGAGAUCAUACAGAACACCGAUUGCGAAGGCAGCUUACCAAUCUAUAUCUGACGUUGAGGCACGAAAGCGUGGGGAGCAAACAGGAUUAGAUACCCCUGUAGUC
RNAcentral lists this ribosomal RNA (460 nucleotides) under uncultured bacterium. RNAcentral's name for it is "partial 16S ribosomal RNA". It matches the Rfam family "Bacterial small subunit ribosomal RNA", at positions 338 to 795 of the family's 1533-position model. The record is from RNAcentral.